This 180-nucleotide ribosomal RNA is filed under the name uncultured Glomeromycotina. RNAcentral's name for it is "partial small subunit ribosomal RNA". The stretch from base 91 to 180 matches the Rfam family "Eukaryotic small subunit ribosomal RNA", at positions 736 to 828 of the family's 1831-position model. The record is from RNAcentral. Lineage: Eukaryota; Fungi; Glomeromycota.
GACCUGGCUGGGCGGUCUUGCCGAAAGGUAAGCACUGCUCUGGUCGGGUCUUUCCUUCUGGGGAACCAGCGUGCGCUUAAUUGAGUGCGCUGGGGAUCCAGGACUUUUACUUUGAAAAAAUUAGAGUGUUCAAAGCAGGCUUAUGUCUGAAUACAUUAGCAUGGAAUAAUAGAAUAGGAC